GUCUACAGCCAUGCCACCCUGAACAAGCCCAAUCCCGUCUGAUCUUGGAAGCUAAGCAGGUUCAGGCCUAGGUAGUACUUGGAUGGGAGACCACCUAUCUAGGAAGACCAGGUGCUGUAGGCA
RNAcentral lists this ribosomal RNA (123 nucleotides) under Pteropus alecto (black flying fox). The record is from RNAcentral. Lineage: Eukaryota; Metazoa; Chordata; Mammalia; Chiroptera; Pteropodidae.